Molecule: transfer RNA, 72 nt
Organism: Oryctes borbonicus
Lineage: Eukaryota; Metazoa; Arthropoda; Insecta; Coleoptera; Scarabaeidae
Rfam family: tRNA
About the family: Transfer RNA (tRNA) molecules are approximately 80 nucleotides in length. Their secondary structure includes four short double-helical elements and three loops (D, anti-codon, and T loops).
Source: Rfam
GUCUUCGUGGUGUAGUGCUCAGCGCACCCGUCUAGAAAACGGGAGACGUUGGUUCAAAUCCUACCGGUGUCU